GCGUCCCGGGUGGAAGCGAGAAGACUGACACAACAGCAGACUGAGUGUUUUCAGUUCUGAUUAGACUCUAGUGUUGAGAUGUCUGUCUGUCAUGAUAGCAUGAACUGAGUCGGGGCCAGUACCAGAUAAGAACAUUAAACUAUAAUCCAUAAACGUAAGGUAACAACAGAGAACUAAUGGUGCUGUGACAGUGAAAAUGCGUAUGGUAUGUUGUAUCUGAACAGGUUAGCUUACGAGCUAAAGUUACUUAGCACAGAUGAAAGUUAAAACAAAGACGUUUAUCAAACUGUUAAAGCACACAAACCAUCGUCAUAUGAGAAAUCCGACGCUAUGACUCUCCACAAGUCGUCCUUCAGGUCGUUAUCUUUGUAAUAUUUGUGUUUUUUUAUCAAAAAUCACUCUGUUCUCCGACACGUAAACAAUCAGCCGGUCGGCCAUGUUGGAUAUACCGGUGAAUCAGACGUCGCAACAACACACAAUCUGAUUGGUCAGAAGUGGACACACAGUA
RNAcentral lists this long non-coding RNA (508 nucleotides) under Xyrichtys novacula (pearly razorfish). Lineage: Eukaryota; Metazoa; Chordata; Actinopteri; Labriformes; Labridae. The record is from RNAcentral.